Molecule: ribosomal RNA, 472 nt
Filed under: uncultured bacterium
Lineage: Bacteria
Description: bacterial SSU rRNA
Rfam family: Bacterial small subunit ribosomal RNA
Source: RNAcentral
GAUCAUGGCUCAGAUUGAACGCUGGCGGCAUGCCUUACACAUGCAAGUCGAACGGCAGCACGGGAGCAAUCCUGGUGGCGAGUGGCGAACGGGUGAGUAAUAUAUCGGAACGUGCCCAGUCGUGGGGGAUAACGUAGCGAAAGCUACGCUAAUACCGCAUACGAUCUAUGGAUGAAAGCGGGGGAUCGCAAGACCUCGCGCGAUUGGAGCGGCCGAUAUCAGAUUAGGUAGUUGGUGAGGUAAAGGCUCACCAAGCCGACGAUCCGUAACUGGUCUGAGAGGAUGAUCAGUCACACUGGAACUGAGACACGGUCCAGACUCCUACGGGAGGCGGCAGUGGGGAAUAUUGGACAAUGGGCGAAAGCCUGAUCCAGCAAUGCCGCGUGAGUGAUGAAGGCCUUAGGGUUGUAAAGCUCUUUUACCCGAGAUGAUAAUGACAGUAUCGGGAGAAUAAGCUCCGGCUAACUCCGUG